AGAGUUUGAUCCUGGCUCAGAAUCAACGCUGGCGGCGUGCCUAACACAUGCAAGUCGAACGGGAAAGCACUCUUCGGAGUGCGAGUAAAGUGGCGAACGGGUGAGUAACGCGUGGGUGAUCUACCCUUGGGUGGGGGAUAACUUCGCGAAAGCGGAGCUAAUACCGCAUGAGCCUCAUUUUGUAAGCGAGAUGAGGGAAAGUUUUCAAAUGCCGAAGGAGGAGCCCGCGUCCGAUUAGCUAGUUGGUGAGGUAAGAGCUCACCAAGGCGACGAUCGGUAACCGGUCUGAGAGGACGGACGGUCACACUGGGACUGAGACACGGCCCAGACUCCUACGGGAGGCAGCAGUGGGGAAUUUUGGGCAAUGGGCGAAAGCCUGACCCAGCAACGCCGCGUGGAGGAUGAAGGUUUUCGGAUCGUAAACUCCUGUCUAGAGGGACGAAGGAAGUGACGGUACCUCUGGAGGAAGCCCCGGCUAACUCCGUGCCAGCAGCCGCGGUAAUACGGGGGGGGCAAGCGUUGUUCGGAAUUACUGGGCGUAAAGGGCGCGUAGGCGGUUUCGGAAGUCAUGGGUGAAAGUCCUCGGCUCAACCGAGGGAUUGCCUGUGAAACCACGGGACUGGAGUGCUGGAGAGGGAAGCGGAAUUCCCAGUGUAGCGGUGAAAUGCGUAGAUAUUGGGAGGAACAUCUGUGGCGAAGGCGGCUUCCUGGACAGACACUGACGCUGAGGCGCGAAAGCCAGGGGAGCAAACGGGAUUAGAUACCCCGGUAGUCCUGGCUGUAAACGAUGAACACUUGGUGUGGGGGGUGAUGAAAGUCCCUCUGUGCCGGAGAGAACUCAUUAAGUGUUCCGCCUGGGGAGUACGGCCGCAAGGCUGAAACUCAAAGGAAUUGACGGGGGCCCGCACAAGCGGUGGAGCAUGUGGUUUAAUUCGACGCAACGCGAAGAACCUUACCGGGGUUUGAACUGCACUUGAGCGAUCUAGAGAUGGAGAGGUUCCCUUCGGGGACAGGUGCAGAGGUGCUGCAUGGCUGUCGUCAGCUCGUGUCGUGAGAUGUUGGGUUAAGUCCCGCAACGAGCGCAACCCUUGUCUGUAGUUGCCAUCAGGUUAAGCUGGGCACUCUACGGAGACUGUCGGCGAGAAGCCGGAGGAAGGUGGGGAUGACGUCAAGUCCUCAUGGCCUUUAUGUCCCGGGCUACACACGUGCUACAAUGGGCGGUACAGAGGGCAGCGAACCUGCGAAGGCAAGCGAAUCCCAGAAAACCGCUCUCGGUUCGGAUUGCAGUCUGCAACUCGACUGCAUGAAGUUGGAAUCGCUAGUAAUCGCGGAUCAGAACGCCGCGGUGAAUACGUUCCCGGGCCUUGUACACACCGCCCGUCACAUCACGAAAGUGGGCUGUACUAGAAGCCGCCGGCCUAACCCUCGGGAAGGAGGCGUCGACGGUAUGGCUCAUGAUUGGGGUGAAGUCGUAACAAGGUA
This 1482-nucleotide ribosomal RNA is filed under the name metagenome. Its description in RNAcentral is "bacterial SSU rRNA". It matches the Rfam family "Bacterial small subunit ribosomal RNA". The record is from RNAcentral.